GACGAACGCUGGCGGCGUGCUUAACACAUGCAAGUCGAACGGAAAGGCCCUGCUUUUGUGGGGUGCUCGAGUGGCGAACGGGUGAGUAACACGUGAGUAACCUGCCCUUGACUUUGGGAUAACUUCAGGAAACUGGGGCUAAUACCGGAUAGGAGCUCCUGCUGCAUGGUGGGGGUUGGAAAGUUUCGGCGGUUGGGGAUGGACUCGCGGCUUAUCAGCUUGUUGGUGGGGUAGUGGCUUACCAAGGCUUUGACGGGUAGCCGGCCUGAGGGGGUGACCGGCCACAUUGGGACUGAGAUACGGCCCAGACUCCUACGGGAGGCAGCAGUGGGGAAUAUUGCACAAUGGGCGGAAGCCUGAUGCAGCAACGCCGCGGGCGGGAUGACGGCCUUCGGGUUGUAAACCGCUUUCGCCUGUGACGAAGCGUGAGUGACGGUAAUGGGUAAAGAAGCACCGGCUAACUACGUG
This 468-nucleotide ribosomal RNA is filed under the name uncultured bacterium. RNAcentral's name for it is "partial 16S ribosomal RNA". It matches the Rfam family "Bacterial small subunit ribosomal RNA", at positions 28 to 507 of the family's 1533-position model. The record is from RNAcentral.